This 467-nucleotide ribosomal RNA is filed under the name uncultured bacterium. RNAcentral's name for it is "partial 16S ribosomal RNA". It matches the Rfam family "Bacterial small subunit ribosomal RNA", at positions 29 to 507 of the family's 1533-position model. The record is from RNAcentral.
ACGAACGCUGGCGGCGUGCUUAACACAUGCAAGUCGAACGGAAAGGCCCUGCUUUUGUGGGGUGCUCGAGUGGCGAACGGGUGAGUAACACGUGAGUAACCUGCCCUUGACUUUGGGAUAACUUCAGGAAACUGGGGCUAAUACUGGAUAGGAGCUCCUGCUGCAUGGUGGGGGUUGGAAAGUUUCGGCGGUUGGGGAUGGACUCGCGGCUUAUCAGCUUGUUGGUGGGGUAGUGGCUUACCAAGGCUUUGACGGGUAGCCGGCCUGAGAGGGUGACCGGCCACAUUGGGACUGAGAUACGGCCCAGACUCCUACGGGAGGCAGCAGUGGGGAGUAUUGCACAAUGGGCGGAAGCCUGAUGCAGCAGCGCCGCGUGCGGGAUGACGGCCUUCGGGUUGUAAACCGCUUUCGCCUGUGACGAAGCGUGAGUGACGGUAAUGGGUAAAGAAGCACCGGCUAACUACGUG